This 85-nucleotide non-coding RNA is filed under the name uncultured Prevotella sp. The record is from RNAcentral. Lineage: Bacteria; Pseudomonadati; Bacteroidota; Bacteroidia; Bacteroidales; Prevotellaceae.
UAAGGGGUGCUUGGUCCAUUGGCCUUGCUGAGAAUAUACCCUCGAACCUGAUCCGGGUAAUGCCGGCGUAGGGAAGAAAGGAAAU